CGGGCAACAAAGGAGUGGCUCCGUAAGAAGCAUUUGAAAGUCCUGGAGUGGCCUAGCCAGUCUCCAGACCUCAACCCCAUAGAAAAUCUGUGGCGGGAGUUGAAAGUCCGUGUUGCUCGGCGACAGCCCCAAAACAUCACUGCUCUCGAGAAGAUCUGCAUGGAGGAAUGGGCCAAAAAUAUCAGCUACUGUGUGUGCAAACCUGAAAUGGAAUCCGUUUUCAACUUGCAAAAACAAGAUCCAAAAAGGGUAGUAAUUUACGGCGAGACCAAGGAUGGACCUGAUCAGUGAGGUAGAUGGCCUACAGUACUUACCUUCUUCUCUUCUGGGUGCUGCAGUUAUCUACCUUGGAAAUCACAAAUCCUGUUGGAUAGAAGUGACAACUGUGAAAACAUUUGAUAGUUUAGCAUGACAGAUUUUCCAUGGUAUCUCGGGUGGAAUAACGGACUUCUCUGGGGGCAUCAAAAUGAACACAUAAGCUCUGGAUGGACGUUAAAAAGGAGCUGAUUGGUGCCUCUCCAACAUGACGAAUGGACACUUUGGGCUGCAAUCUUUGUUUGUCUCAUGGCUCUUUAGUGAUAAUGUUUGGGAGUUCAUCAAAAGGAAGGUGUUUUGGACUGCACCUCCCUAAGCCUUUAUCCUGUUGACCUGUGGCAGCAGUCAGUCUGACUACAGCAUGCCUCAGUCAUGUUUUCUUUUACACAUUCACAAGUUUCAUUGUAGAUAUGUUAGACGUUAUACAUGCACAUCUGUGUGCAAGCUUGAAUUCAUCAUGAAUGAAAGGAGAACACUCUGCAAAGCAUUCUUUGGGGGGAGGUCUGUGGGGUCCCACUUAACUCUAAGUUAAAUGGGAGCUUAUAGGUGAGGCCCCAUCCAGGAAGGGAGUCUUGUCUUAAAUCAGUAAGGGAAAAUUUAAUUGCCCACAUUUUCUUUUUGUGUCGUUUUGUCUUACCUAACAUGAGUGUUAUCUGCACUACAGUUUGACCCCAGAGCACAGGUACAAAAGUGCCCAGUUUGAAGGAAAGCCACCCCCUUUGUUUCACUGUUUAUUAGGUGUGCUAAAGAGUCAAAAAUAAGGUCUCCGUUAAAUUCAUCCUGAAGCUUUUCAUACAUUUCAGAUUAUUAGAAGGUUGUCACCGGCUGUUCUUAAACUGAGGUUCAUUAUACGUUCUAUUAAAUGAACUCUGAGUUGGGGAAUAAGCUUGGUGACAAACUGUUAGGUAAAAUAAAAGGAGGAGGAAAAAAGAGACAUUGCUUCCACAAAAGUGUUCUGCAUUUUGUGCUUUUUGUUCAGCAGUAAGGCUCAGGAUGUCAAUACAGAUUAUUUUGCCUGUAUUUGUGUUCAGUUCCUCUUGUUCUACAUUUUUACAAUGUACUUUCUUGUUUUGUUUUUUCUUUUGACUCAGAAUUUGGUCUUUACUUUUCUGCCUUGUACGGCAUCGUUUUUCUUGCAUGUUUACUGGUGGAAACGCACGAGUUGGAGGUCACUGUUCAUCGGCAUACAAAGAUAACAGUAACAGAACAAUUGCAAUACUAAUCUUAGUUCCCUAAGUAGACACUUUUUCAAACUGUUCAAAUGUGAAGAUUAGUUAAAUGCUAUUAUGUUUUACUGUGGAUAACCUAUUACGUUUGCAAACCAGUGUGCAAUAACACCGUGUGAUCCAUACAUGCGUGUUGGGAGGGGUUGUGAGGGUUAUGUAGAGCUACAACGUCAUCAGCCAAGAUGCUAGCGUGGCCUGCAGUGCAGUUCAGAAUGUUUAAGGGUGUUCAGUUUGUUGCACGACUUCUAAAUUCAAUGGUGGGAUAUGUGUAUAUUUUUUAAAAUUAUUCUAAAGGCUCAUGUUGUAAGAUCCAAGUCUAGGCAGCCCAAAUCUGCUAGCUGACCAGCUGUGAUGUCAAUUUUUUAUUUUUUUUCCUUCACCAUCAGCAAAUCAAGAUCGGUUUACUCAACAAAGCAACUGUCCAGGUUUUUCUCUAGAAGCUCUGAUUUGGCUAAUGUGUGGAUUAUUAGCACUUUAUGUAAACUAAUUGCUUUUAUCUUAUGAUUAAUAGACAAAAUCUGUGUGUAGUGACGAGAAAUCCUCCUUGAAAGAAUGGCUCUGGGCUGUUACUUUUCAGAAAAAAAGCCGCUAAAUAUACAGAAUUAUUAAAUAUAACUCAGGUAGUGUUGAUAAAGCCAUGACUGUGUUUAAUAUUGUUUCUUGCCAAACGGCCCCCGUCACGUAAACGUUCUCAUUGGAAAGGUUGACUUUAAGUCUGAUUUAUAUAAAGUAUCGUAUGUUGUGACAACACACCAAAAAGUUAAUACUUUGAGAAAAAAGUUGUCAUGGCGUGGGAGGUGCUGUCAUUAAUCGUUUUGGGCUCUAAAAUUGUUGUUUCUUUUCCUUUUAAGCACAGUGCUGCACAGGCUCUUUUCCAUGUAUCCUGGACUGUAACCUUGUAAUCUCUGCCGGUUCAUUUUCUCCCUUAUGUGUUCAUAGUGAAGCACCUCUUUGAUUUAUUAAUGCUGAACAUCAGCAGUGUUUCUACGGGGGUACACAUGAGUUUUCAAGUACACUUCUUUCCACUGUGUCCUGAUUAGGCAGCGGCACAGCUCGCGCUCAUGCACGGAGAGGGGACGUCAUAACUGCCGCCAUGUUUUUGUACAAGUUGUCUUGACAUUUAACUUCCACAUCUAAUCGCAGUCGGCUCUCUGGUAUUUAAAAAGCUUUGUUUUGGCUUUCAUUGUACGCCAUUUGAUGGAUGAGUGUAUCAGCAGACGCUGACCUCUGAACGAGAACGCUCGUGUCAGACGUGGUCAAUGAGGAAGCAGGGGUAAUUGAGGAGGUAUAAGCGCUUAUUUUUAUGUUGUUCUGUGCUUGUGGAAAAUUGACACUUAAUCUGGCAUCAAUUUACAACAAACACCGCAGUUUAAUUUCUUGCAAUGGCCCAUAAUCUGUUUGCGGGGGGCAGGGGACACAAUCAGGUUACCAUAUGGUUAAUGUUCAGGCUGAAAGGAUUAUCAGUGCACAGCUAUAGGCUUGUAAAUGUAAAGCAGGGUGAUCAGAAUAACUAGUACGUGAUCUUACUGUAGUAUUAUGAUGAAAACACUAUUUUCUCAUGUGUGGGUUUGUUUUGUUUCUUUGGGGGGGGUUGUUUUUGUUUUUUCUGUCUCUUUCAUUUUUAAUGCUAGAGUGGUCCUGGUAGAGGGAAAUCAGAGAUUCUCCUUUGCUCCCACCCUGAUGCCCCUCUUUUUCAAGCACUUAAUACAGCAACAAGGCUAUAGAAUAUGCAUAUAUUGAGAGAGAAAUAAUUAUUCAGCAUUGUAGCCUGCAAACCAAAAACAGGUUCUUGAAGCAGAGUAGGUGGUUAAUCAGUGGUUUGUUUUUUGGGUGGUGGUGGGAGUGAGUGACUGUUGGUGUGGUGAGAAAGAAAAGCCUGAUCAUGUGGAGUUUAUAUUUCCACCCCCUCAGGAUGUGCAAUCACCUCAAGGAUGCUUCCAGGUUGUGAGUGGCAAGUUUGUUUGUUUGGUGCGCGCAUAGCGAGUUCUUCCUAUUAUAUGCAAGUUCCUCGUAUAUUUCAAAAAAGUCCCUCGUUUCAUGUUCAGGUGCCUGUGUUAUAAAGAAAAACUUUUACAGCAAUUUUGAUUGUUUCAAAUCUGCUUCCAGCGUAUAUCUGUGCCAUUUUCUUUAUUUCUUUUGUUUUGUUUUUUGGAACAUUUGCAACGCUGUUCAAGUAUUCUUUGGCUGUUCCUAAUUGUUCUUCUUUUAAACGAUGUGGAUGCCACUGAAGGCAAGGAGCAUUUCAGGCGUCCUGUAGGUUGUGUUCACAGGUGCGACCUAAAGCCAAAUCACACGGGCACGGGAAGACAGAUCUCUGCUCGCUGGUGUAUACUCCAGUCCGUUGUCGAGUUAAUGUCUGAACGUAGCACAUAAUUAAUUUGAAAUUAUUUAACAAGUUUAAUCUUUUAAUGUGUUUAAAAAAUAAAAAUAAAAAAAAGUUUUAUUUUUGAGUUAUAAUUUAUCCAUAGAUGCACAAAUAGGAUGUGAC
Molecule: long non-coding RNA, 4029 nt
Organism: Astatotilapia calliptera (eastern happy)
Lineage: Eukaryota; Metazoa; Chordata; Actinopteri; Cichliformes; Cichlidae
Source: Ensembl